RNAcentral lists this unclassified non-coding RNA (343 nucleotides) under soil metagenome. RNAcentral describes it as "partial contains 5.8S ribosomal RNA, internal transcribed spacer 2, and large subunit ribosomal RNA". The stretch from base 1 to 120 matches the Rfam family "5.8S ribosomal RNA", at positions 35 to 154 of the family's 154-position model. The record is from RNAcentral.
GAUGAAGAACGCAGCGAAAUGCGAUAAGUAAUGUGAAUUGCAGAAUUCAGUGAAUCAUCGAAUCUUUGAACGCACAUUGCACCCGCUAGUAUUCUGGCGGGCAUGCCUGUCCGAGCGUCAUUUCAACCCUCAAGCCCCCGGGCUUGGUGUUGGGGAUCGGCGAGCCUCCGCGCCCGCCGUCCCCUAAAUCUAGUGGCGGUCUCGCUGUAGCUUCCUCUGCGUAGUAGCACACCUCGCACUGGGAAACAGCGCGGCCACGCCGUUAAACCCCCAACUUCUGAACGUUUGACCUCGGAUCAGGUAGGAAUACCCGCUGAACUUAAGCAUAUCAAUAAGCGGAGGA